RNAcentral lists this ribosomal RNA (465 nucleotides) under uncultured bacterium. Its description in RNAcentral is "partial 16S ribosomal RNA". It matches the Rfam family "Bacterial small subunit ribosomal RNA", at positions 339 to 795 of the family's 1533-position model. The record is from RNAcentral.
CUACGGGGUGCAGCAGUGGGGAAUAUUGCGCAAUGGACGAAAGUCUGACGCAGCAACGCCGCAUGAGUGAAGAAGGCUCUUGGGUUGUAAAGCUCUGUUGAUAGGGACGAAAACUCCUUGGGUUCAUAGCCCUUGGAUCUGACGGUACCUAUCGAGGAAGCACCGGCUAGCUCCGUGCCAGCAGCCGCGGUAAUACGGAGGGUGCGAGCGUUGCUCGGAAUCACUGGGCGUAAAGGGGAUGCAGGUGGUCCUGCUCGUCUGUGGUGAAAUCCCUGGGCUUAACCCAGGACGUGCCAUCGAUACGGCAGGACUAGAGUCUCGGAGAGGGCCGUGGAAUUCCCGGUGUAGCGGUGAAAUGCGUAGAGAUCGGGAGGAACACCAGAGGCGAAGGCGGCGGCCUGGACGAGUACUGACACUGAGCUCCGAAAGCGUGGGUAGCAAACAGGAUUAGAUACCCUUGUAGUC